GAGGUGUUAGCUCAGUUGGUAGAGCAGCGGACUCUUAAUCCGUAGGUCGAGUGUUCGAAUCACUCACACCUCA
This 73-nucleotide transfer RNA is filed under the name Candidatus Profftella armatura (Diaphorina cf. continua). RNAcentral describes it as "tRNA-Lys". It matches the Rfam family "tRNA". Rfam says of the family: Transfer RNA (tRNA) molecules are approximately 80 nucleotides in length. Lineage: Bacteria; Pseudomonadati; Pseudomonadota; Betaproteobacteria. The record is from RNAcentral.